UAUACGAUGUUGUUUGAUGCAUAUCGUACGGUAACAUUCCUAGCUUGCUAGAAGAUGACGAGUGGCGGACGGGUGAGUAAUGCUUGGGAACUUGCCUUUGCGAGGGGGAUAACAGUUGGAAACGACUGCUAAUACCGCAUAAUGUCUUCGGACCAAACGGGGCUUAGGCUCCGGCGCAAAGAGAGGCCCAAGUGAGAUUAGCUAGUUGGUAAGGUAACGGCUUACCAAGGCGACGAUCUCUAGCUGUUCUGAGAGGAAGAUCAGCCACACUGGGACUGAGACACGGCCCAGACUCCUACGGGAGGCAGCAGUGGGGAAUAUUGCACAAUGGGGGAAACCCUGAUGCAGCCAUGCCGCGUGUGUGAAGAAGGCCUUCGGGUUGUAAAGCACUUUCAGUUGUGAGGAAAAGUUAGUAGUUAAUACCUGCUAGCCGUGACGUUAACAACAGAAGAAGCACCGGCUAACUCCGUGCCAGCAGCCGCGGUAAUACGGAGGGUGCGAGCGUUAAUCGGAAUUACUGGGCGUAAAGCGCACGCAGGCGGUUUGUUAAGCUAGAUGUGAAAGCCCCGGGCUCAACCUGGGAUGGUCAUUUAGAACUGGCAGACUAGAGUCUUGGAGAGGGGAGUGGAAUUCCAGGUGUAGCGGUGAAAUGCGUAGAUAUCUGGAGGAACA
This 672-nucleotide ribosomal RNA is filed under the name Alteromonas sp. MR06-76. Its description in RNAcentral is "bacterial SSU rRNA". It matches the Rfam family "Bacterial small subunit ribosomal RNA", at positions 43 to 708 of the family's 1533-position model. The record is from RNAcentral. Lineage: Bacteria; Pseudomonadati; Pseudomonadota; Gammaproteobacteria; Alteromonadales; Alteromonadaceae.